GACGAACGCUGGCGGCGUGCUUAACACAUGCAAGUCGAACGAAAAGAGGGAAAGAGCUUGCUCUUUCCGGAAUUGAGUGGCAAACGGGUGAGUAACACGUAAACAACCUGCCUUCAGGAUGGGGACAACAGACGGAAACGACUGCUAAUACCGAAUAAGUUCCAAGGGCCGCAUGGCCCAUGGAAGAAAAGGUGGCCUCUACCUGUAAGCUAUCGCCUGAAGAGGGGUUUGCGUCUGAUUAGCUGGUUGGAGGGGUAACGGCCCACCAAGGCGACGAUCAGUAGCCGGUCUGAGAGGAUGAACGGCCACACUGGAACUGAGGCACGGUCCAGACUCCUACGGGAGGCAGCAGUGGGGAAUCUUCCGCAAUGGGCGAAAGCCUGACGGAGCAACGCCGCGUGAGUGAUGACGGCCUUCGGGUUGUAAAACUCUGUGAUCCGGGACGAAAAGGCAGAGUGCGAAGAACAAACUGCAUUGACGGUACCGGAAAAGCAAGCCACGGCUAACUACGUG
This 513-nucleotide ribosomal RNA is filed under the name uncultured bacterium. RNAcentral's name for it is "partial 16S ribosomal RNA". It matches the Rfam family "Bacterial small subunit ribosomal RNA", at positions 28 to 507 of the family's 1533-position model. The record is from RNAcentral.